GACGAACGCUGGCGGCGUGCUUAACACAUGCAAGUCGAACGGAAAGGCCCUGCUUUUGUGGGGUGCUCGAGUGGCGAACGGGUGAGUAACACGUGAGUAACCUGCCCUUGACUUUGGGAUAACUUCAGGAAACUGGGGCUAAUACCGGAUAGGAGCUCCUGCUGCAUGGUGGGGGGUGGAAAGUUUCGGCGGUUGGGGAUGGACUCGCGGCUUAUCAGCUUGUUGGUGGGGUAGUGGCUUACCAAGGCUUUGACGGGUAGCCGGCCUGAGAGGGUGACCGGCCACAUUGGGACUGAGAUACGGCCCAGAGUCCUACGGGCGGCAGCAGUGGGGAAUAUUGCACAAUGGGCGGAAGCCUGAUGCAGCAACUCCGCGUGCGGGAUGUCGGCCUUCGGGGUGUAAACCGCUUUCGCCUGUGACGAAGAGUGAGUGACGGUAAUGGGUAAAGAAGCACCGGCUAACUACGUG
This 468-nucleotide ribosomal RNA is filed under the name uncultured bacterium. RNAcentral's name for it is "partial 16S ribosomal RNA". It matches the Rfam family "Bacterial small subunit ribosomal RNA", at positions 28 to 507 of the family's 1533-position model. The record is from RNAcentral.